GGACAGGUCAGCCAUGCAAGGUUAUCUGGCCUUCUUGGGCCAAGACAGGGAGCAUUUCAGCACUUGUCUCUCUGCGUGGUUUCAAAGUGUGACAAAUUGGUUGUCACCUCCAAGAGGCUCAGAGUCCAUCACGCGCCCAAGGUUUUCACGGCGUGCCUGCUGAGGUGUGAAGAUAUCACCAGCAGGAAGAUCCGCAAGGUGUGUACGCAACUGGAGUGCAACUUCCUCUUCCCGGAGCAGGAGAUUUCCCAAGGCAGUCAGUGUGUCCUUUCACAAGCUGCUCACGUUGAGCAUUUUGCUUUUGGCCGAGAACAGUUUCCUGACACUCAAAGCAUGACAUGCUGCUUUAGGGAAAACCAAGUGUUCAUGAGCCCCGACGAUGUACUUGUACACCUCUGGCCCCUGGUCUCGCAAGUCUAUUUCAUGGAGUGUUUCAGGGUCAUUUCUGAGCCCUCUUGGUCUCUCUGUAGUUUGUGGAGUAUCCCGAGUACUUGGAUCUUCGCCCAUACAUGUCUCAGACAGCUGGGGAACCGCUGCUCUACUCCUUGUACGCUGUCAUGGUUCACCGUGGUGCCUGCUGUCAUGAAGGACACUUCUACUGCUACACAAAGGUAAAGAGCAACUGCCUUCCUCACAAGGGAAAAACGUGUGCUGGGGAAGAGAAAUUUUCAUGGCGGUGUUACUGGCAGCCAAGGUUUUAGGGGAGAAGGUCUCCUUAGGGGCUGGGUUGCAUUUGUUGUGAUGGACUCUUGGCUCUGUCGUUUUCUGCCUGUGUUUGUGUUGAGAACCCCGCACUUCAUCUCCAGGUGUCCAUGUCUUGUUUUACAGGCCAGCAAUGGACUGUGGUACAAGAUGAACGAUAGCUCUGUGGAGCGUUGUGACAUCAACACAGUUCUCAGGCAGCAAGCCUAUUUACUGUUUUACAUCAGGUAAAAACAAGUACAAAAAUGUUUUCGGAACACGUUUCCUUUUCUUGGCUUUGCUUUUCCUCUUCUGAUCCUCCUCCUGUCUCUGUGUUUCUCUUUCUGUCAUAGGAGACAAUCUCUCCCUGUGUCCUUCAGUGCUGUCAAAACUGAACUACACCAUGUCCGUCCUUCUCGUCCCUUGCUGGGC
RNAcentral lists this long non-coding RNA (1113 nucleotides) under Athene cunicularia (burrowing owl). Its description in RNAcentral is "lncRNA (ENSACUG00000008979.1)". The record is from RNAcentral. Lineage: Eukaryota; Metazoa; Chordata; Aves; Strigiformes; Strigidae.